AAACACAUUAUUGUUUAUGUUAUGAACUAUUUAUAAAUAUGAAAAAUAAUAUGGAAGAAGAAGAAGAGAAAAGAAUAGACUUUGUAUUAUUCUAUUCACAAGUGUAUUUUACAUUGUAACAAAUGGGUCCUAUUUAUAGGACACAUUUAGGGGACAAGAAAACCAACACAAUAAUGAACAUUCAUUACAUAUUAUUAUUCAUAACACCCCAAUUGAAUGUCCAUUAAGGAUAUGCCUCGUUAAAACCUUACUAGAGAAAAAACCAUUGGAAAAAAUAUCCAAGCAAAAGAAAAAGAGUAGGACAAAACCAUGGUGAAGGGAAAAAGAGUACACCAUAUAUAUUUAUGUCUCCCCUUGAUAAAAACAGUUAUAUAUGAGAUGAAAAAUCCAAAUAAUCUUCGGUGCUAGUUCCUCAAAAGAUUUGCUUGAAGUUGAUUUUGUAGAAAGAUUUGACAUAUUUUCUUNUAUGAUCGGAUGAUAUUGUUGUUUCUUUAAGGUAAAUAAUAUGUUUGACUUUGUUCCAUUAUUUGUGUUGGCUGAAAAGACAAAAAUAAAAUACUACAUGUAUAACGAGUAAAAUAUAUUAGUGUUGAGGAAAAAAUCCUUAUUUGAUGUUUUAAAGAUAACAAACAUGUUAAUUAAUUUUAAUUAUGAUUAUCUUUUUAUCUACUAAUGUGUUUUGUGAGAAAUGUUUCAACGAUAAUGAUAUCAUUUGUCAACGAUAACGUUAUGGAUGAGGAAUUAAUGGACAAGCAAAACAUAUAAGCAAUGAGUAGAAACAAAAGAAGCAACUUAAAGUCUUGGCCAAAAUGAUAUAAAAGCUUCACAUGAA
This 832-nucleotide long non-coding RNA is filed under the name Trifolium pratense (red clover). RNAcentral's name for it is "long non-coding RNA (TPRA_LNC010019)". The record is from RNAcentral. Lineage: Eukaryota; Viridiplantae; Streptophyta; Magnoliopsida; Fabales; Fabaceae.